UUUGUUAACAAAUGAAGAAACGGCUGCAGCGACAGUUACCAAUCUUUAGACAGAUGGCAUUGACGUCUUACAUGUAAAGGCUGGCUUUAAAGAAAAGAGACUGGUUAAGUAGUAGUUUUUCAGAGAAUCUUUAGCAUGCUUCACCCAGGUAGUAAACCAAUCAGGACUAACAAAUUUUAUUAGAAGCGAAUUAAUCAAUGUAAAUUAAUAUUAUAGUCGCUCGCUUGUAGUAAUCAGCGAAAAAGUAGUUAUUAACACAUUCUUUCUUGUGUAACAUCAUUAUGUACUUUCUAACCGAUUCUGAGCGACUAACAUGCAAGUUUAAACUUCCAUAA
Molecule: long non-coding RNA, 335 nt
Organism: Neltuma alba
Lineage: Eukaryota; Viridiplantae; Streptophyta; Magnoliopsida; Fabales; Fabaceae
Exons: 2
Source: RefSeq, a predicted model, not a curated record